RNAcentral lists this ribosomal RNA (585 nucleotides) under Brinckmannia hexactinellidophila. RNAcentral's name for it is "partial 16S ribosomal RNA". It matches the Rfam family "Bacterial large subunit ribosomal RNA", at positions 1818 to 2597 of the family's 2925-position model. The record is from RNAcentral. Lineage: Eukaryota; Metazoa; Cnidaria; Hydrozoa; Anthoathecata; Bythotiaridae.
GCCCUUUGUAUAAAUAAAAGGUGUCUCCUGCCCAGUGAUUCUUAAUUAAAUAAUAAUAAAUUUAUUAAAAUAAAAUCAAACGGAAGCAGUAACCAUGACUGUAAUAAUGUAGCAUAAUCAUUAGCCAUUUAAUUGAUGGAUAGUAUGAAAGGAUAAACGAAUAUUUCACUGUCUUAGAAAAAGAAUUUAUGAAAUUGAGAUAAUAGUAAAGACGCUAUUUUAAAUUGUAAGACGAAAAGACCCUAUAGAGCUUCACUAUAAAUUUUUAUGUGUUCUAAACAUAUGAAAAUCUGGUAGUUUAGUUGGGGCGACUGUUUUUUAAAAAAAACAAAAACAAGCAAUAUUAAUCUAAAAAAUUUACUGUAUAAAAAACAAAUUUAACAGUUACCAAAGUAGGCGAUAAUGACCCGUUAUUAUUAAAAAAUACAAAUAACGUUCAAUAAAUAAAAGCUACCUUAGGGAUAACAGGAUAAUUUUGUGUUAGAGUUCAUAUUAAACACAAAGUUUGUCACCUCUAUGUUGAAUUGAGAUUUCCUAAUGGAGUAGAAACUAUUAAGGGUAGGUCUGUUCGACCUUUAAAAUCUU